AGUGUAAUAAGGUCCCGGAGAAGUGUCACUGGCCCUGAGUGGGACCCGGUAGCCCGUUCGCUCCGCGCCGGCGGCCUGUCCCCGCGGCUUGGCGGGCUAGGGCAGGGGAAAUGUUGCAGGAGGAGUCGGACCUCUCUCUCAUUAUUGCCCAGAUAGUCCAAAAGCUCAAGGGCUCCAAUUUGUACUCUCAGCUGGAACGGCAGGCCUGGGCCAGUCUUCAGAGACCUGAGAUUAAACUUGAAUCACUGAAAGAAGAUAUUAAGGAAUUCUUUAAAAUAUCAGGUUGGGAGAAGAAACUUCAGAAUGCUGUUUAUAGUGAACUGAGUGUGUUUCCUUUACCUAGUCAUCCUGCUGCACCUCCUGAACAUCUUAAAGAACCUUUGGUAUACAUGAGGAAAGCACAGGGAAGUUGGGAAAAAAGAAUUUUGAAGAGUUUAAAUAGUAUGUGCACUGAACUGAGUAUCCCACUGGCACGAAAGAGGCCAGUUGGAGAACAGAAAGAACUUCUUAAUAAAUGGAAUGAAAUGGGAACUGAUGAACCAGAUUUAAGCCUUUUCAGACCUGUUUAUGCACCUAAGGAUUUUCUUGAGGUAUUAAUUAAUCUUCGCAACCCAAAUUAUGAAAACGGUGAUUCUCUUAGUUUCAGGACUCAUUUGGGUUUAAUUCAAGUUCCACUGAAAGUAAAAGACAUCCCUGAAUUGAAAGAAUGCUUUGUGGAACUUGGCUUAAAUAUAGGACAACUGGGUAUAGAUGAUUCUACACAAGUGCCUCCUGAACUUUUUGAAAAUGAACAUGUACGUAUUGGGCAAAAAGUUCUAGCAGAACAAGAUAGUGCUGCUGCUCAACAGUACAUCAGACAAGGAAGUCCCACGGCACUGAGAGCUGAAUUGUGGGCUCUCAUUUUGAAUAUUUCCAGCCAACCUGAGGAUGUCUUGUAUUAUGAGCAGCUUAAGACCAAUGUGAUACAACAUGACCUUUUGGUGGACAGUCUAAUCUAUAAAGAUGUGAAGUUGACAGCAAGCAAUGAUGAUUAUUAUUUUGUAUUUGAAGAUUAUUUAUAUCAGGUAUUACUUUGUUUUUCCCGGGAUACAUCUGUGUUGAGUCACUUUGCAUUCAACAGUGCCUCGCCACCAAAAUCAUACAUAAGAGGAAAACUAGGACUGGAAGAAUAUGCUGUCUUUUACCCACCAAAUGGUGUUAUCCCUUUUCAUGGAUUUUCAAUGUAUGUUGCACCACUUUGUUUUCUAUACCAUGAACCUUCCAAAUUGUAUCAGAUAUUCCGUGAGAUGUAUGUGCGUUUUUUCUUCAGACUCCAUUCCAUCUCUUCUCAUCCUUCUGGUAUUGUGUCACUCUGUCUGCUGUUUGAAACUCUUCUUCAAACUUAUCUUCCCCAACUCUUUUAUCAUCUACGAGAAAUUGGGGCUCAACCACUUCGCAUAUCAUUUAAGUGGAUGGUUCGAGCUUUCUCUGGAUACUUAGCUACAGAUCAGCUCUUGCUUUUAUGGGAUAGAAUCCUAGGAUACAACUCUCUGGAAAUUCUUGCUGUGCUGGCAGCUGCCGUGUUUGCUUUCCGAGCAGUGAACCUGAUGGAGGUGACAUCACUGGCUGCAGCUGAAAAUCUAGCUGCCCACAGUGAACAGUUCUGCACUGCUCCUCUAUUCCCUGAGCUUUACAGAGUCCAGAUCCCAUGUACUGCUGAACUCAGGCAGAAAGAAGAGUGCAGUUUAUUGGACUCCAAAUCUCAUUCAACAGAACAAAGAAGUUGAGGUUGCAAGGAAGAACCUAUAAUGAUGGGUCAUGGAAUAUAACCUAGAAAAGAAGAGAAAUAAAAGAGACUGUGUUUCACCAUGUUGCCCAGGCUGGUCUCGAACUUCUGAGCUCAAGCAAUCCACCCUCCUCAGCCUCCAGAAGUGCUGGGAUUACAGGCAUGAGACACCAAGUCCAGCCAUAAGGUUCUUAUUCUAUAUAUACAUGAAAUGAUAUCACUUGAAGGUAGACUGUGAUAAGUUAAAUACGUAUAUUUUUUAAAUCUUCAAACAACCACUAAAAUAAAAGAACAAAGAGUUACAACUAAUAAAGGAGAUAGAAUGGAAUCAUAAAAUAUGUUUUCAAAAGAUGGUGUAAAAGGAAUAAAAAGGAAACAAAAAACAGAUGGAGAAAAAUAGAAAAAAAAAACAACAUGGUAGAUUAAAACUCAACCAUAUCAAUAAUCACAUUAAAUAAAAAAUCUAAAUACAAAAAUUUCAAUUAAAAGGCAGAGAUUGUCAGACUGGAUUAAAAAAGAUGAGACCUACCUAUAUACUGCCUUCAAGAAACCCAUUUUAAUAUAAAGGCACAAUUAGGUUAAAAGUAAAAGGGUGAGAAAAGAUCAUGCUACCACUAAUCAAAAGUAAACUAGAGAGAUUUCAAAGCAGCAAGCAUUAUCAUGUUAAAGGUGAAUUCAUCAAGAAGGCAUAGUGCUAAACAUUUAUGCACAUAACAGAGUUUCUAAAUAUAUGGAGCAAAACUGAUAGAAUUGCAAGGAAAAACAGACAAGUCUACAAUUAAUCAGAUUUCAACAAACUUUAUCAAUUAUUGGUGGAAUGAGUAAGUAGAAAAAUCUAUAGUUCUUAUUUCUUCUAGAUUUUUCUACCUAUUCCACCAAUAAUUGAUAAAGGGGUGUUGAAAUCUGACUAAUUUUAGAUAACAGAAGAACAACAUUAUUAACCAACUAUGUCUAACUGCAUUUAUAGAACACCCCACCCAACAACAGCAAACUAUACAUUAAUCUCAAGUGCAGACAGAACUUCUAUGAGUAUAAAAUAUAUUUUGGGCCAAAAAACAGACAGGUCUCAACAAUUUUACAAGGAUUCAAGCCAUAUAAAGUAUGUGCUGUGAUUGCAAUGAGUAAUAUUAGAAAUUGAUAACAAAAAUAUCUGGAAAAAUCUUGAACUAUUGAGGAUACUAACAGAUUGCUAAAUAACCCAUAGGUCAAGGAAUAAAUCAAAAGGGAAGCUUGAAAGUAUUUUGAACUGAAUGAAAAUGGAAAUAAAACAACAAAAUUUUUGAAAUUCAGUCAAAGCAGUAUUUACUAGGAAAUUUGUACUAUAAAUACCAAUAUUAUUAUAGAAAAGGGGAAGAUCUCACAUCAGUGAUCUUGGUUUCUAUUAAAAAACUAAAAGACAUACAAAUGGUCAACAGACAUAUGAAAAGACACUCAAUAUCACUAAUCAUCAGGGAAAUGCAGAUUAAAACCACAAUGAGAUGUCACCUUCUACUUGUCAAGGUGUCUAUUAUAAAAAAAAAAAAGAUUACUGUUCACAACGAUGUUGAGAAAUUGGAACACUUGUACACUGUUAGUGGGAAUGUAAAAUGGUGCAGCUGCUUGGAAAACAGUAUGGAGGUUCCUCAAAAAGUUAAAAUAGAACUACCAUACAAUCCAGCAAUCUCACUUCUGGAUAUUUAUCCAAAAGAAUUGAAAUCAGGAUCUCAAGGAGAUUUGAACACAUGUUCACUGCAACAUUAUUCCUAAUAGUCAAGAUAUGGAAACAACCUAAAUGAGUGAAUAAAGAAAGGUGGUAUAUACAUACAAUGGAAUAUUAUUCAGCCUUAAAAAAGAAGAAAAUCCUGCCAUCUAUGACAUGAGAAAACCUUGAUGACAUUAUACUAUGUGAAAUAAGCCAGUCACAGAAAGACAAAUACUGCAUGAUUCCACUUAUAUAUGGUAUCUAAAUAGUCAAAUUCAGAAGCAGAGUGGCUGUUGCCAGGGGAUGGGGGAGGGUGAAAUGAAGAGUCGUUUUUCAAUAGUAUAAAGCUUCAGUUAUGCAAGAUAAAUAAGUUCAAGAGAUCUGCUUCACAACAUUGUGCUAUAGUCAACAAUACUGUAUUAUACACUUAAAAUUUUGUUCAAAGGGUAUGUCUCAUGUUAAGUGUUCUUAUCACAUUUUUCAAACUAGAAAAAAGUGAAAAAAUUAAACCCCAAAAUAAGUAGAAUAAGGAAAUAAUAAAGAUCAGAACAGAAAUCAAUGAAAUAGAAAACAAAAACAGUAGUGUCAUUAAAACAAAACUUUGGUUCUUCAAUGCAGUCAGUAUAAUUAGUAAACCUCUAUCCAGACUGAUUAGGGAAAAAAAGAGAAAAGAUAAAUAUUACCAAUAUCAGAAAUGAGAGAGAUAAUAUAACUGCAGGAAAUACUAUGGACAACUUCAUGCCUGUGAAUUUGACAUAAGGUAGUUUUAGCCCUCCAACUUUUUUUUUUUUUUUUUUGAGUAAUUAUGGCUAUUGUGGAUUCUCUGCAUCUCUUUAUUAAGGAGUCCGGCUCCUGGCCAAAGUCUACAUGUGAUUUUUCAGAUCCUACUAUAGGCAAUUACAAAGGCUUUACCUCGCAGGUCUCAAGGGAGGAAGCUGACUACCCCCUCACCAGACUUGGUGCACAGCCAGAGCAUUGCAGUCCCUGAAGGGUCUUGCAGUCACAGACUCAGGCCCAUCUGGCUGACCAUGCUCUUACACAUGCCUGCAUUCCUCACCUAAGUACCUCCAUUUGGAGUCCUCUUUAUUUUUUCUGGGUGGGGGGGAGCCAUCUUUUUUUUCCUUCAACUUUUAAGUUCAGGGGUACAUGUGCAGGAUGUGAUGUUUGUUACAUAGGUAAACGUCUGCCAUGGUGGUUUGCUGCACAGAUCAUCCCAUCACCUAGGUUUUAAGCCCAGCAUUCAUUAGCUGUUCUUCCUGAUGCUCUCCCUCCCUCAUCCCACACCCCCAACAGACCCCAGUGUGUGUUGCUCCCUGCUGUGUGUCCAUGUGUUUUCAUUGUUCAGCUCCCACUUAUUAGAACAUGCGGUGUUUGGUUUUUUGUUCCUUCUUUAGUUUGCUGAGAAUAAUGGCUUCCAACUCCAUUCAUGUCCCUUCAAAGGACAUGAUCUCAUUCCUUUUUAUGGCUGCAUACUUUCCAUGGCGUAUAUGUGCCACAUUUUCUUUAUCCAGUCUAUCAUUGAUGGACAUUUAGUUUCAUUCCGUGUCUUUGCUAUUGUAAAUAGUGCUGCAAUGAACAUAUGCAUGAAUGUAUCUUUAUUACAGAAAGAUAUAUAUUCCUUUGGGUAUAUACCCAGUAAUGGGAUUGCUAGGUCAAAUGUUAUCUCUGUCUCUGGGUCUUUGAGGAAUCACCACACUAUCUUCCACAGUGGUUGAACUAAUUUACACUGCCAUCAACAGUGUAAAAGCAUUCCUAUUUCUCCACAACCUCACCAGCAUCAGUUGCUUUUGACGUUUUAAUAGUCACCAUUCUGACUGGCAUGAGAUAGUAUCUCAUUGUGGUUUUGAUUUGCAUUUCUCUAAUGAUCAGUAAUAUUGAGCUUUAUUUCAUAUGUUUGUUUGCCACAUGUAUGUCUUCUUUUGAGGAGUAUCUGUUCAUGUCCUUUGCCCACUUUUUAAUGGGUUUGUUUAUUUGUUUUCCUGUAAAUUUGUUAUGUUUCUUGUAGAUUCUGGAUAUUAGACCUUUGUCAGAUGGAUAGAUUGCAAAAAUGUUCUCCCAAUCUGUAGGAUGUCUGUUCACUUUAAUAAUAGUUUAUUUUGCUGUGCAGAAGGCUUUUAGUUUAAUUAGAUCCUAUUUGUCAAUUGUUGCUUUUGUUGCAAUUGCUUUUGACAUUUUUGUCAUGAAAUCUUUGCCCAUGCCUACGUCCUGAAUGGUAUUGCCUAGAUUUUCUUCUAGGGUUUUUAUAGUUUUGGGUUUUACAUUUAGGUCUUUAAUCCAUCUUGAGUUAAUUUUUAUAUAGGUAUAAGGAAGGAGUUCAGUUUCAAUUUUCUGCAUAUGGCUAGCCAGUUUUCCCAGCACCAUUUAUUAAAUAGGGAAUCUUUUCCCCAUUCCUCGUUUUUGUCAGGAUUGUCAAAGAUCAGAUGGUUUGUAGGUGUGUGGUCUUAUUUCUGAGUUCUCUGUUCUGUUCCAUUGGUCUAUGUGUCUGUUCUUGUACCAGUACUAUGCAGUUUUGGUUACUGUAGUCUUGUAGCAUAGUUUGAAGUUGGGUAACGUGUUGCCUGGAGGCCUCUUUAUUAGAAGCCUUGCACAGGGGCUUUCUGCAGAGGCCUUCCUCAGGUGCCUCUGCUAAGAUCUCCUUAUCUAGGUAGAAAUAGGGGACACUUGAUGCUUUUCUCCGCAUUAACCCAAUACUCAGUACUUUUUUUCUCCUACCCCUUCCCUUCUCUCACCUCCUGGUCCCCAGGUCCAUAAUACACCAGGAGCCUUUUGGGGGGCAGGGCUCCUUUGGCAUUGAGACCAUUCCCCACAGCUGCACUGAUCCACCUGAUCCUCAACCAGAGCUGUUUUACAGGGAAAAUAAAGGGAGGUGGCACAUUGCUUAUACCAUCAUAGUACAGCAAGUGACUAAAGGCUUGACUCUUAUUUUCAUUUUAGUUUUUUGCCUUAAUCAGCUAUGCUGAUUCCUGGCAGAUCAGCACUCUCUUAGUUCAGUUUUUGACACGUGAUUAUAGAAGCAGUUUGUCAAUCUCCACAAUAAAGUCUAAUCCGUUUAAUAAUACUGAAUCUUCCAAUCCAUGAACAUGGUAUAUCUCUCUAUUUAAAUCUUUUUCCAUUUCACUUAGCAAUGUUGUCAUGGUAUAUCUCUGCAUUUGUUGUCAGCGUACUGGUCUUGAACAUCUCUUGUCAGAAUUUUCCCUGGGUUUCAUAUUUUUGAUGCUAUUAUAAGUGCUGUUGUUUAAUUUCAAUUUUGGAUUGUUAUACUAUAUAGAAAUACAAUUGAUUUUUGUAUAUUGAUCUUAUAACCAGAAACCUUGAUAAACUUACUUAUUAGUUCUAGUAGAUUUUUUUGUAGAUUAUCUAAUAUUUUCUACAUAAACGAUAAUAUUGUCUGCUGAUAAAGGCAGUUUUACUGCUUCCUUUCCCAUAUCAAUAUCUUUUAUUUUUUUCUUGUCUGUUUGCAUUGCUAAAAGUUCCAAGAAAACAUUGAGUAGACAUUGUAAGAGUGAUAUCCCUCACAAGUUCUUAAUCUAAGAAGGAAAGCACUUAUUCUGUCUCCAUUACAUAUGAGCAGCAGGCUUCAGCCUUUUGUAAGGUUAAGGAAUUUCCUUUCUAUUCCAAGUUUGCUGAGAGUUUUUUUAUUAGGAACUAAGGUUGAAUUUUGUAAAAAUGACUUUUCUGUAUCCAUUGAGAAUAACCAUAUAAGUUUUCUCUUUUCGUAUGUUAGUAUUGAGAACUGGUAAAUUGCAUUUUAAUAAUUUAGGGCAGUACUGCUAUGAUUUGAAAGCUUGUACCCUCCAAAACUCAUGUUGAAAUUUAAUUGCCAGGCCAGAUGCAGUGGCUUACACCUGUAAUCCCAGCACUUUGGAAGGCUAAGGCUGGAGAAACACUUGAGCCCAGGAGUUUGAGACCAGCCUGGGCAACAUAGUGAGACCCUGUCUCUACAAAACAUUUUUAAAAAUUAACCAGAUAUAGUGGCACACGCCUAUGGUCCUAGCUACUCAGGAGGCUAAAGUGGGAAGAUCACUUGAGUCCAGGAAGUGGAGACUGCAGUGAGCUGUGAUUGUGUUACCACACUCCAGCCUGGGCAACAGAGCGAGACUCUGUCUCAAAAGAAAGAAACAAAGAAAUUUAAUUGCCAAUAUAAUGGUAUGGGAGGUGGGGACUUUAAGAGAUGAUUAGGCUAUGAGGGCUCCAGCUUCAUGUGUGCCUUACUAAAAGGGCUUUCAGGGUGGCUACUCUUUGCCCUUCCACCAUCAGAUGACACAGCAAAAAGGUCCUCUCCAAAUGCCAACACCUUGAUAUUGGAUUUCCCAGCCUCCAGAACUAUAACUUUCUGUUCUUUAUAAAUUACCCAGUCUCAGGUAUCCUGUUAUAGCAGAACAACAUGGACUAAGACAAAUUCAUACAGGAAAGCCAGGAUUUGCUUGAUCCUGACAAAUAAAGGGCUUUCCCUUUAUUUGUCAGUUUUCAAGGCAAUGAGUUGGUAUCUUAUUAUUCUUCAAAGGUGGUCAGUUUUUUUUUAAUAUCAUUGUGAACUUAUGUAGUUAAAUGUGAUAUGUUAUGGGUUUCAUUCCCAUGCAGUUUUUAUCCUUAUUGAGGUUCAAGGUUUCCCAUCUUCAGUCAGUGACAGCCACUUCAAGGAGUAAAGUUUUUUUUGUCAUGACUCUAGUCAUCAUUGAAAGCUUACUUGCCAUCAGGUAUGACAAGAUGUUCCAAGUUUAUCUUAUACACUUUCUACCCAAAACCUGAAAUUAGUCAAUUCUCAAAGAAGUCAUGGUAUCUUUUAGUAGUAAACAAUAUUUUAAGGCCACAAUCUGAUCGUUAGGUCUAAUCAUUGCUAGUAGGUUGGUCAUUGUUAUUAGGCCUUUUCAGGUGCUCAGAGGUAAUUUCAAAUUCAAAUACAGACUUUGUAUUUUUACUUAAGCUUUCAUAUAUAUAUAAUUUUUUUCUGCAUACUAAUAAUAGUUUUCAAGAAUACAAGAGGUGAUGGGAUAAAAUAUCUAUAAUCAUUCAUUUGCUUUAUCCAACAAUUCACAUAUAAUAGUCUUAAGAUAACAAAACUCACCCCAACAGAAGAGUUUGUAAAUGUCUGUAUUAUAUGUUUUUCCCAAUUUUGCACUAUGUCUACAUUGUCAGAGCAUAUAGCCAGAGCAGACUAUAUCCUAGUCCAUUUAACCCCUUAGUCUUAGUUCUACAAGUAAUUAUAUUGAAUACCCACCAUCUGUACUUGUGUCAAUGUCAUCCUAGUCAUUUUGGUUGUCUGAAGCUUGUUUUCUAUUUAGAUACCUCAAGAAGGGCUCAUGGGAGAAAAUAAUCUCUUAAGUUUAUAUGUUGAUAAGAGCUUGUAUGUACUCUUUUUCUUGAAAGUAAGUUUAGUUACAUGUAAAAUGCUUGGCUCACAUUUUCUUUCCUUGUGUAUCUUAAAUAUGUUAUUCUGUUUUUCUCUGGCUUAAAAUUAGAUGGUCAUCUAAUUUUCUUUCCCUUAUAAAUCACUUGCAGUUUUUGCCUAGAUUUUGUAAGGAUUUUUUUCCUUUUCAUUAAGCCAAGUAAUAACUAAUAUAUAUCUUUCUGUUUGUUGUUUUGUGUUCACAUUUUGAAGUUCAUCGUGUGCUCUUUCAAUAUGUAAUUUCAAAUUUUUUUAUUUCAAGAACGUUUUGUUGAAUUAUAGCUUGUAGAACUAUAGUUGCAGAAUUUAUUUUAUUUCCUUGUUUUGGUGUUAUUCUACAGGAAACGCUGGGACAGGCCACUUUAUAUCUUUACAUAGCUCUAUUAGGCAUCUCUCUCUCUUCUUUUUUUUUUUUUUUUUUUACGGAGUUUCACUCUUGUUGCCCAGGAUGGAGUGCAAUGGUGCAAUCUUGGCUCACUGCAACCUCUGCCUCCUGGGUUCAAGCGAUUCUCCUGUCUCAGCCUCCUGAGUAGCUGGGAUUACAGGUGCCCGCCACCAUGCCCCACUAAUGUUUGUAUUUUUAGUGGAGAUGGGGUUUCAUCAUAUUGGUCAGGUUGGUCUCGAACUCCUGACCUGAGGUGAUCUGCCCACCUUGGCCUCCCAAAGUGCUGAGGUUACAGGCGUGAGCCACCGCACUCUGCCUGUUUGUUUGGUUUUGUUUGUUUAGACAGAGUCUCUCUCUGUCCCUCAGGCUGGAGUGCAGUGGCAUAAUCUUGGCUCACUGUAACCUCCGCCUCCUGGAUUCAAGCGAUUCUUAUGCUUCAGCCUCCAGAGUAGCUGGGAUUGCUGGGAUUACAGGCGUGUACCACCACAACUGGCUAAUUUUUGUACUUUUUAAUAGAGACAGGGUUUUGCAGUGUUGGCCAGGCUGGUCUCUAACUCCUGGCGUCAAGUGAUCCACCAGGCUCGGCCUCCCAAAGUGCUGGGAUUACAGGUCUGAACCAAUGCUCUUGGCCUCUUACCCCCAUUUUUAAAUUGAGGACACUGAUAAUCAGAAAGAUUUUUUGUCUGGACAUGGUGGCUCAUGCCUGUAAUCCCAGAACUUUGGAAGGCCAAGGUGUGAGGAUUGUUGGAGCCCAGGAGUUCAAGACUAGCCUGGGAAACAUAAUAAGACGCUGUCUCUAUAAAAAAUUAACAGGGCGUGGCGGUACAUGCCAGUGGUCCAAGCUACUGAGGAGGCUGAGGUGGGGGGAUUGCUUGAACCCAUGAGGCUGAGGAUGCAGUUGCGUCUCAACCUGGGCAACAGAGCAGGGCCCUGUAAGAAAAAAAGAAGGGGAGGGGAAGGGAGGGGAGGGAGACAUGGUGGGGUGUGGAGGGAGAGAGAGAGAAGGAAAGGAAAGAGGCCGGACACAGUGGCUCAUGCCUGUAAUCCCAGCACUUUGGGAGGCCGAGGUGGAUGGAUCACAAGGUCAGGAGUUUGAGACCAUCCUGGCUAACACAGUGAAACCCCGUCUCUACUAAAAAAUAGAAAAAAUUAGCCAGGCAUGGUGGCGGGAGCCUGUAGUCCCAGCUACUCGGGAGGCUGAGGCAGGAGAAUGGCGUGAAUCUGGGAGGCAGAGCUUGCAGUGAGCCAAGAUCGUGCCACUGCACUCCAGCCUGGACAACAGAGUGAGACUCCAUCUCAAAAAAAAGAAAGAAAGGAAAGAGAAGGGGAGGGAAGGGGGAAGGGAAGGGGGAAGGGAAGAAGGAAAGGAAAAAGGAAAGGAAAGAUUAUAUAAUUUAUUCAAGAUUCCACAGGUGGUAGGGGAAGAACCAGAACCGAGGUCUGCUCAACUAUGAAUCUUUAGGUCUUUUUUCCAUAUUACCCUGCCGCCUGGGUCCUUUCUGAGUUUAUUUCACUGCUUUUCCUUCAGAUGGUCACUCUCAUAUGCCUUACAGUCUUGCUUCUCAAAAUCUAGCCCUUGGACCAGCAUCAUUGGCAUUACCAGAAACCCCAUUAGAACUGAAGAAUCUCAGUUGCUCCAGUCCUACUGAAUGAGAUUCUGAAUUUUUAUAAGAUCUCCAGGUUAUUUCAAUCUCCAUUACAAUUUAAGAAACACUGGUCUAGAGAAAAAUCUAAAGGUAUUUUAGGCUAUAAUUCUCAAAUUUUAUGGCAUACUGAUAUCCCUUGGAAUAAUUUUUAAUUCCUGAUACCCAAGCCACAACCCCUAUCAAUUAAAUCAAAUCCGAAUCUCUGGGGAUGGAGCAUAGCAUAUGUUAAAACUCCCCAAGUGAUCCAAAGUAUAGCCAUGUUUGGGAGCUAGGUCUUAAAACAGUACGGUUAGUCCUUCAUGUUCCUAAGAAUACUGGGAGCUUCUCAUCUUCACAUGCUGAUUCAGUAGAUCUAGUUUGGGGCCUGAGAUUCUUCAUUUCUAACAAGUUCUCGAAUGGUAGUUUCUGCUGCUCCUAAAAGUUUCUGGAGUUAAAUGAAACUACCGGAAGCCUCCUUCAACAAUGUCAAUAAAUACAAAUAGCAUCUAAUCAAGGAAAGCUUCUCUAAGGCACAGUCCUGGCCUUCUAACUCCACCUGAGAGCAAAAAAGGAACUCCGGGAGAAGGGGUGGAGGUGCUGCAGGCUCUUACAAGGCUCCCCAGGUUACUUCACACCUGGUGCUGGGCAGACCCACCUAGGUGUGCCAGACAGUUGGGAUCAGGCUGCUGCUUGCAGCCCCAAGGCAAGAGUUCUUGCAAACACAUACUUUUUUCUCAUUGCCUGUGCCUUCACCAUCUGUCUACCUUUCUUUCCCCGGGUCCUUCUCUUUCUUUUCCCUGGGUUCCUGUCUCCAGGCUUCCCAGCAGCAACUGGGGCACUUGCUUGGUCUGCUGUGUGCUUACUUGGGUUUUGGACUAAGUCAAAACUGCAAAAUCUCAGGCCAUAACACAGAGGAGCUUAAGCCAGCAGAAUAAGAAGGGCCCUGGGGAUAAGUGCCUAAGAGAUAUGGCAUGAUGGAACUUGAUUUGUUUUUCAUCACAGAUCCAUUCAUGACACACAAUAUGUGGUCUGAUAGCUUGGCAGGACUGAACAUGAACUAUUCUCACUCCAGCUUAUAAUUUACAUAUUUUUCCCUUGGCAAGACCCAAGCAACUGUCAUCAGCAGGUUGUGUGGGACUUGUCGAGUGUGGUGGCAGGUCCACACUGGGUUUGGCUGUAUCCCAAAGUUUUGACUCAUCCCCUGGCCUGUGGCAGAGUGGGAAAUCUUGCUGGUGUAGCUAGGUAAGGGCUUCCCUCUGGACAUGCCAGGGCUAAGGAAUCCUCAACAGCCUUAGCUGGCCAUUUCUGAGAUGGCGAAACACUUACCCAGAAUUCCACUGGGCCAAAAGUUAACCUCUACAGAAGAGCAAACUAAUUCACUUUGUCUAGCUUUGACAGGAAAGAACAGAAAGAGAAGGGAAAAACUGAGACCUUAGGAUAUUCAACAUAAAGGCAGCCAAGUAGAGGAUUCUUAAAAUCUGUUUCUAAAUUAGGAUCGUCCCACAUUUAUUUGGGGCUUAUUCAAUGACAUUUUCCUAAGCACUAGUUAACAAGGCAUCUUACCACAUGCCAGAUAAAACUGGUCGUCAGAACAUAACCUUUUUACCCUGCGGAAUAACACUUUUCACCCAGAUUCUUGAGACUCUUUAAUUUCCUUACAGUUUCCAACCAUUUAGGGAAAGCUACUCUGGGAACUGAAAGAGGCAAUGUGGCUCAGAGAUUGAGCAGGUUUCUCCUCCCUACUAACAGCAUCAGAUGAUAAUUAAUCCUCAUUGCUUCCCAAAGGACAGCCAAGGAAAAACUUCAUUUCCCAGAUGAGGUGGCUCAACAAACUGCCCAAGACCAGUGUCCCAGCUAGCAAGUAGCCAGCUACCCACAGUGCAAUCUGUUUCAGCCCUUGCGACAGGCUUCUGGUCUCCUGCAACUGGUCUGAGUAGACUUAAGUUCCUGUCUUCACUUGCCCCAGCCUUGUAACACCUCCCUUGAGAGUACUAUUUCUAUGUAGGCUUUUUAGGGCUGAAAUGAGAGAAGACAUUUCCUGGCCCUGAAGUGAGUCAUUGGCCUAGUAAAACUUCACCUAAGGGGUAGCUGACUAGCCAAUUGAGGACAAUGGAGGAAGCCUGGCACCUCUGGAGGGAAGUUCCUGAUGUGUGGAGAUUUGCCAUCUAUGAGAUGGCAAGGCUCAGUGGCUACACAGGCCCUCCGGCAGCCUUAAGCAUCAAAUAAAUUACAUAAAUACUUAGGGCCUCUAGGAUCCAGGUCUUGAACUAUGUGCCUUGGAAAGUCCAGAGUUGAGGUUCUUGCUCUCACUUACUAUUUUCAGUGUGGUCCCUGGGAAGCAGCAUCAGCAUCACCUGGGAACCUGUUAGAAAUAAUUGUCAGACACCAUCCCAGACCUACUGAAGCAGAAUCUCUGGUGCUGGGAUACAGAAUUCUGUGUCUCACCAGCUCUCUAGGUGAUUCUGGUGCAAGUCCAAGUUUGAGGGCCAUUGCUUUUAUCAAACCAUUAUUUGUUGAGCCCCUUUAAAUCAGGUUGAAUUGGGGUUCUCUAGAGGUAAGGGGGGCUGGGUAACAAAGUGAGGCUCUCAAGUCAGGUUACCUGGUUCUCUGCAACUUCCUAGUGAUGUGACCUUGGAUGUCAGUUCUCUCACCUCUAAGACGGGGGAAAUAAAACCUCUUCCACUGGGAGGUCGUGUGUGUCUGGCCUAUGUAGUUUCUCUCUUUUCGCCACCCCAAUCUAUCUAAAAGGAAAUUUACAGAACAGGACCUACUGUUCCUAGGGUAAAAAUCUGCAAGAUUGGCCACAUGCAGGAUGCUGAUGUUAAUACCUUUUUAAUUAACAUUUUAAGUGGUUCUAGGUUUAAAUGAGUUUGGUUCAGCCUUUAAGUCCUGAGGAUAAUGGUAUUUUUAGCAGAAAUAUGUUUUCCCAUGCUGACUUACAUCCAAAUAGUUUCAAAGAUUAGAUUACAACUUUACUAAAAAGUGAAACUUAACUUCUACUUAGGUUUCCUUUGUUUUCUUUUUAAGAGAGAGGAAGAAUAGAUCAUCAAGGUUGAUUUUUUUUUUUUUGUAUUUGUAAUUCAGGAUUAGGCAAAUGUUUAAAAACUAAUAAAAAUGAUUUGAGCAUUUUAAUUAUUUUCUCUUAAGGCAGAACAUUUUUUACUCACUUCCAUGUUACAUUGAUAUCUGCUUAUAAAAAAAAUAUACCUUUAUAGCAGAAAUUUUAGAAAAUACAGAGAAACAUGAAGAGGAAAGCAAGCACACAUAUCCUACUGCCCAGAUAAUCACUGUGAAUGUUUUGGUGUAUUUCUUUGUGGCUUUUCUUCCUGCUCACAUAUGUAAUGGUUGAUAUGUAUCUAUAUUUAAGAUGUUUUAAUGAAAUCACACUCUACUGUUUUUAUCACCCCGCAGAGGCAGGAUGGACUCCCCCCAACCCAAAAUUUGGUUCAGAUGUCAAAACUGAUGAUGUCACACAUACAUCUUAAGAGGGUAUGGAAAGGUUUCUUGCAUAAUGAGGCUUUCUAGAAAGAGCAGAGUAGGAUUCCAAGGAAGUCCAUAAAUGGCUUGAGAAAGCAGGGAAAGGAGACUAGCUUGGGGUUUUUAUCGCAGUUAGAGUGUGGGGCUGAGUGGAGGGCUCCUGCACACAGACUGAACACUGCAUGGUUUGAACUUCUCACUGGUGCACUGGGGUUUUCUUAUCAGCUUGUCCAGAUGUGGAACCAAAUGGAAAGGGCAGUCACGGGGCUUGAAAGUUGUCAGCAGCCAAACGUCAAAACUGGAAUUAGACUCUUAAUUAUAUGUAGUUUUGCAUCUUUCUCUUAAAUUUAGCAUUGUACUUUCUGUGCUUGAGAGACAAAGCUUAAACCAAAAGCUUUACUGUCAAACUAGAUUGCUUUUGACAUUGGCAUCUUGUGGCUAUGCCAGUGUUUCUAGUGACUAAUCAUUUAUUUAUUCAUAUUCUAGAAGAAAAGGAUGUAUGGAUUAAAAACAUUGACUUUUUUUUUAAUAAAACAAACAAAAGAGUGUGGAAUAAGAAAACAGAGCAUACUAUAUAUCCCAAAAGCAAUAUAUCCAAAAGUUUUCCUUGAGAAAAAAAAAAACCAGCUUGCUCAGGAAAGAGAAUACAGAUUGUUUUCUCUUUGUAAGUAUAUUUGAAUUUUUUAUGAUCAAACAUGACUCUCAAUUUACUGCAAAAUACGACUGCAGAAUGUGUGAGUCAUGUAUCUAAUCUGCUUUGAAAUAUUGUUCCUAAAGAACAUAGGUACUUAUAAUCCUGUACAAUCCACAGUUGGAGUCCACACCUUGUGACAACAAAAGACAACUCAAAUCAGCUUCAAGCAUGGAUCAUAACUAACCGCGGGGCUAUUUUUUCCAUCUGUAAUAAAGAAUGUUCCAACAUCUUUAAUAAUCGAAGAUAAUCCUCUGUCGUCAUCUUGAGCAUCUAGGUUAUAAAAAUACAUACAGUGCUUUGAAGAAAGGUUCUGGUCCACUGGUGUCACGUGAAGGUCAGAUUAUGGAAAACUGGCAUUGUUACAACAAGAAAUGAAGGCUGCUCAUGUUUUCUCUGGGUAUUUGGAAUAAAGUAUCUCAUAGUUUCCAACUUGAAGAUUUAA
Molecule: RNA transcript, 15455 nt
Organism: Homo sapiens (human)
Lineage: Eukaryota; Metazoa; Chordata; Mammalia; Primates; Hominidae
Gene: TBC1D19
Gene name: TBC1 domain family member 19
Exons: 23
Source: RefSeq, marked validated